This 70-nucleotide small RNA is filed under the name unclassified sequences. Its description in RNAcentral is "NAD+-I sequence". It matches the Rfam family "nadA riboswitch". The record is from Rfam by way of RNAcentral.
GCUUUCAACAUCCCCGUUCCAGAGGCGCAACCCUGGCAUAGCCAGCCAACGACCUGCUGGGACUGAAGGC